Molecule: long non-coding RNA, 2888 nt
Organism: Zea mays
Lineage: Eukaryota; Viridiplantae; Streptophyta; Magnoliopsida; Poales; Poaceae
Exons: 5
Source: RefSeq, a predicted model, not a curated record
AUACCCUUUUGUUUUGACGUCGUCUAACGGUCUAACCCUAUCUCAUCCCUUCCUAGGUCCCAGGCUCCCCGCGCCGACUCCCACAGGCUCUUAGCGCUGACUCCUUUACGCGCACCGGCUCACCAUACCCUCAACCGGCGCGAGGACCGGCGCCGGCACGGCUUCGAGUUGGCGCGCUGCGGCCGCAGACCUGGGCCUGGGCGUGUGCCGCCCGGAGACGCUCGCGGCUGCGGCAUCGACUUGGGCGCAGCGACCGGAGACCUGGGUGCGGCUUCGACCUGGGUGCAACCGUGCAAGGCCAUCCGACGCUGUGCACAGGGCAGGAGUGACGUCUGACAGACUAGGGCAGGGAAAUAGUUGAGAACACCAAGAAUAUCUAGAAUCAAAGCUUCUUAAGAGGUCGGAACAAAGAAGAGGAGAAAAUGUAUUGAAUGUGGUGAACUAGGCCAGAUAGCCAAACAUUGCCAUGGAGGUCCUACAGCUAAAGAGAAGAGGAGGGUCUCUUCUUCAGGAAAUACAAUAGCCAUGAGUAACAAUGAUCCAAGUGAAGCACAAACAUCAAAUGAUAGUGCAAGUGCAGCUCCUGAAGGAAGAGGAAGAGGAAGGGGAAGAGGGAGGCUAGCAACAUUACUUGGGCUUGAAUGAUUAUGAGACUUAUAUGCUAGGUGCCUUAUAUGUUAGGUGCCUUCUUUUGUAUGAACUUGAACAUGUGAUGAUUAUGGGACGUCUGUAAUGAUUAUGAGGAUUCUGCUGGACUCAUAAUGAGGGGUUUAAUUGAACUUGUUUAUGCCUAUGUUUGUUAUUGCAUAAUUGUUGAAAAGUUGUGAAAAUACUGCUAAAAUCCUGUCAAAAUCAUGUCAGAUUUUUUGCUGAAAUGCUGUUCAAAACAGAGGGGCAAAAUCAUAAAUUUGAAAAAAGAGGGGUAAAAUCACAAUUGUCAUGCCAGAGAAGAGUAUAAUCACAAUUGUCAGCAUGGGUAUUUUGGUCUUUAUCCAUCAGAUUUAACACCGUCAAGUGUAGUUAACAGCACAAGGGCAUGAACCAGUUUCGUUUUCAAAACGGAGGCGCAAAAACAUAAAGUUGAAAAACAAGGGGCAAAGCCAGAGGAGGGUAUAAUCACAAUUGCCCCUUUAAGGGCCUGUUUGGAUCCACCUCGGUUUCUUAAAAACAGGUUUCUAGAUUUGGUUUCUAGAAAUUGGCUUUUAGAAAAAGAAAAAAAACUGGACAUGAAUGUUUGGAUCCACUAAGGGCGUAUCCAGUGCCGUAGGCUUCCCGCACUAUGCGGGGUCUGGGGAAGGGUAUCUUUAAGCGCCAAGCCUUACCCGCAUAAUAUGCAGAGGCUGGGCUCGAACCCGGGACCUUCCGGUUACAGACGGUAGGCUCUACCGCUGCACCAGGCCCGCCCUUAGUUUUUAAAAAUUGGUCUCCAGUUUUACUUCGACAAUAACCGUCAUACCCUUCUUUGUUUAAAGAAGGUUAGCUUUGUUCCCGCCAUUUUACUUCGCUCGCGUUCGUACAAGGUUUCAUUAUAUUACAUUAUUACUAAUAUCAGCUAGCGACCGGUGACGCUACAUAUGCUCCUCAUGCAUAUAUACUAUCCGAUCGUCAUCAUUAUUUAUUGCGCUGAGGCAAACAACAGCCUGGGCACUAGGACGAGAAGUACGUGGACGAGGCGCGAGAGCUGGCCUCCUGGGCAAGACGUCGGGCCAGAUACGACGUGCUUGGCUGAAGACAUGGAGGCCUGGGCAGUAAGAAGGCUGGGCGUGGAGUUGGCCAGAUGAGCUGCUGGGAGGAUGAAGACGGCAUGAUUGCUCGGAGGAUUGCGUGGAGUUGCUAAUGAGACGGUGGCAUUGUUAGUAAUUCUUUUCCAACUUAUUAAGGGUAGUAUGUAAAUAGCCAUCCAAAAACUGGUUUUAGCUGGGUGUAAUCAGAUUCUUGGUUUUUAAGAAACCAGGAAACUAGUUUUUGGAAACUAAAUUAAAAGUAGACCUGUUUGGAGGCCUUCCAGCUUUUAAAAACCAGAUUCUAAGAAACCUGGUGGAUCCAAACAGGACCUAAGUAUUGUCAUGAUUUGACAUUUCUAACACCACUCAUAUGUGCUGUCAGAUCACUUGCUAAUAUUUAUUGAGGGGAGAUGGCCAUUUCUGGAGCUACUCUGUUUGCACAAUGAUGAUAACAGUUCUACUGAACUUAUGCUGCACCAAUCUGUCUCUAGCUACCAAGCUUCUGAGGACGACCUGGCUGUCUACUAUACUAUUCAUUGUUGGCUGCUCCCUCGUCAAAGCAUACUGAGUGGAGUUACUGGAGAGGGCCUAGGUGUUAUGGUUCAGCCAUCAGCAGUUUCUUCAGGUUCAACUCCUGAUGUUGCUGAUGCACAGGCCCCACCUGCUGACAAGGACGACGAUGAUGAUGUUAACUCAGCCUAUCAUAGUGAUAAAAAAACAAUGUGUUCAACUGAAAAGUUACCAGUGCUAAUCAACUGGAACCAACAUCAUCGAUGUCAGCAUCUGUGGCUGAUUUGUGUCAUUGCUCCAGUGGAUGGCGCGGCUUCUUGCUGUUCUUUUGGACAAACAUCUACCUUUUGGAACUGUUAAUGGUGAUGCUCUUUCUAAUUAUGUUCAGUUCACCUGGUGAUCGGAUGAUGCAGAACUCUCGCCCCGUUUAAAAGUUUGAGUUUCUAUGGGAAGCGUGGUUAGCUGUAACCCGCUAGGGUGUGUUUUUCCCCCAUGUAAUAGGUUCUGACUUAGCUAGCAUUGGUCAUGGUUGGUUGGGCAUAUUUUCCUUUUCAGGAUGGUUUUCUGAUUAGGAGUAGUUUCGCCGGCCUUCUUCGAUUGACAGUCUUCUAAGUCGUAGUUCUCGUGUUGGUAAUAUAUGAAACUCGUUGCCUA